GAUAAUCACGUGAUACGAACCAUUGACGUCAUCAAUGAGGAUAUCUGCCAACUGAAAUGCUACCUGGAGCCAAACUGUGUCAGCUAUAACUUUAAAAAGAUAGCAGAUACAGAUGGAAAACACAGAUGUGAUCUGAAUAACGUUACAUAUGAACACCACAACGAACACUCAGGAGACCUCGCGACGAACGAAAGUUAUGUAUAUCGCGGAGCUGAGAAUGCUUGUGCAAAGAAACUGUGCCAGAACAAUGCAACCUGCCAGGCCGGUUUUACAGACAGAGAUUACCAAUGUUUGUGCAUUCUCGGAUUUACUGGUCAUGACUGUGAAGUGGAUGUAAACGAGUGCACUAAAGAAACACACAAUUGUGAUGUUGAUGCUGUGUGUAACAACACCCGGGGAUCCUAUAACUGCACGUGUAAAGAUGGAUUUUAUGGAGAUGGAAUAAACUGUACUGGUAACUAUCUGUAACACAGUUUGGUUUUAAUAAUGCCUCUUAAUACCUCUUUUUCGUAUUCAAAAGCAAGGAAUUUUAUCAGACGGUGGGAAGUUUUUGUGUGAAGCAAUAAAAUAGUAACAAAUAAGGCACGCUAUGUUUCAGAGCAAAAAUAUACGUAAUCAUAACAUUCCAAUAAAAAGUUUCCCAGUUAUAGUUUUUUUGUUGUUUCAGAUAUCGACGAGUGUACCAACGGAACACAUAAGUGUGAUGUUAAUGCUGUGUGUAACAACACCCGGGGAUCCUAUAACUGCACAUGCAAAGAUGGAUUUCAUAGAGAUGGAAAAGACUGCACUGGUAACUAGAUGGAUGCAAAAAAUAUAUCAUUUUAGUAUAAUUGCUCAGGUAAUCAUAGAAAUUCUCGCGCUCUCAUUGGUCGAGAAUGGCGUCUUAUUCCGUUAUAUUAAACUCCGACUAAUUUUCAAAAUGAUCGCCUCGCGCUUUGUCGAUAUCUCUGAGGAAGAAAUGAAUAUAAUGAAAGAAAAUGCUAUUCCGGGAAACACCAAACAUGCUACAAAGUUCGGAGGGACACCUUUUUUCAAAAGUAGGAUGUGAAAAUUGUGCUAAAUAUUACAACGAAACCUGUUAAAUUCCCGUGCGCCGUGGCUGCAACUAAGAGCGGGCUACCGCAUGUUUGCAGUUCAGGAUGGUGGCCAGUGUUUUGCUGGUGCUACUGCGCCGCCGACCUUCGACAUGUAUGGAAACUCUACGGAGUGUGGGGCUGAUCGUGAAGGUGGAAUGUGGGCCAAUCAGGUUUACAUCAUCAAAGGUAAUAACGCAGCUAACAAUCGGUCAAACUGGAUCAUGGGCUCAUUUUAAAGACAUACAAAUAGAGGUCUGCCCUGCUUGGAUGACUCUUUUAGAAUUCUCAACAGGAUUGAUGGCUUUCUAAUGGCCAGUUCAAGUACAAUCACAAAACAAGCGGUGCCGUGCGGCUAGCUGUUUUAAGGUUAAGAAUCCAUAUACUAUGAUUUUAACUGACAAGCACAGAUCUAUCGUGACCUUCGAUUGAUAGUUAUGAUUCUCUGUCUUCAGUUCAGUGCGCUGGAUGUUGUCCCGUGAAAGGAAUAACGGUAUUGCGAGACUACCGUUUCAACGAAAUAUAUAUACUCGAGAAUUUCAACUGAUGAUAAGAUUUCAGUGUAAGCAAAAAGCAACAUAAGUACUUUAAUGCUCCUGUUUCCUUUCUUUAAAGCUUUGGGUUGCCAAGAAAUUAUUGGCAUGGAAAGUGGUGCGAUCAGUAACGGACAAAUAAGUGGCUCUUCCGGAUUGACCGGUUUUUUUCGGUAUU
Molecule: long non-coding RNA, 1784 nt
Filed under: Orbicella faveolata
Lineage: Eukaryota; Metazoa; Cnidaria; Anthozoa; Scleractinia; Merulinidae
Description: uncharacterized LOC110045130
Source: RNAcentral